This 253-nucleotide ribosomal RNA is filed under the name uncultured bacterium. RNAcentral's name for it is "partial 16S ribosomal RNA". It matches the Rfam family "Bacterial small subunit ribosomal RNA", at positions 524 to 776 of the family's 1533-position model. The record is from RNAcentral.
GACAGAGGGUGCAAACGUUGUUCGGAAUUACUGGGCGUAAAGCGCGUGUAGGCGGUUAUGCAAGUCGGGUGUGAAAGCCCGGGGCUCAACCCCGGGAGGCGGAUGGAUACUGCAAGGCUCGAGUACGGAAGAGGCGAGUGGAAUUCCCGGUGUAGCGGUGAAAUGCGCAGAUAUCGGGAGGAACACCAAUGGCGAAGGCAGCUCGCUGGGACGUUACUGACGCUGAGACGCGAAAGCGUGGGGAGCAAACAGG